UGCGCAGGCGGGACUGCAAGUUGGAUGUGAAAUACCGAGGCUCAACCUCGGGACUGCAUCCAAAACUGUGGUUCUUGAGUGGAGUAGAGGUAAGCGGAAUUCCGAGUGUAGCGGUGAAAUGCGUAGAUAUUCGGAGGAACACCAGUGGCGAAGGCGGCUUACUGGGCUCUAACUGACGCUGAGGCACGAAAGCAUGGGGAGCAAACA
This 207-nucleotide ribosomal RNA is filed under the name uncultured bacterium. RNAcentral describes it as "partial 16S ribosomal RNA". It matches the Rfam family "Bacterial small subunit ribosomal RNA", at positions 568 to 774 of the family's 1533-position model. The record is from RNAcentral.